CCUGUCUACAUCUGCAUGAUUGGAAUGCCUAUGCCCCAAAUUUGCAUGGGUUUUGUGGGGCAAAUCCAGAAGGAUGGCAACAGGAAGUCAAAUUACUUCUCGAUGAUCCCAAACCUGUGUGGAAGAUUUUGCAUCCUCCAGCCAUGAAUGGAUCCAGACUAGGCAGACAUCAGUGACACUUCCUGACGAACUGGGAGCUGCAGAUCCCUGCUACAGGCGCUGCCACCCUGGGGGAACUUCAGCGUGUUCUGGGACUUUCAGGAAACCCUUCAGUGUCUCCGAGGGCUCAGCCAGCUCCAGACAUGUUUUGG
RNAcentral lists this long non-coding RNA (311 nucleotides) under Chloebia gouldiae (Gouldian finch). Its description in RNAcentral is "Erythrura gouldiae (Gouldian finch) lncRNA (ENSEGOG00005007474.1)". The record is from RNAcentral. Lineage: Eukaryota; Metazoa; Chordata; Aves; Passeriformes; Passeridae.